UACAGACGGUCCAAACGUUAUUCGGAAUCACUGGGCUUAAAGCGCGUGUAGGCGGUUAGGCAAGUCGGAUGUGAAAUCCCGUGGCUCAACUACGGAAGUGCACCCGAAACUGCUUAACUUGAGUCCCGGAGAGGAAGGCGGAAUGCUUGGUGUAGAGGUGAAAUUCGUAGAUAUCAAGCGGAACACCGGUGGCGAAGGCGGCCUUCUGGACGAGGACUGACGCUGAGACGCGAAAGCGUGGGGAGCAAACAGG
This 253-nucleotide ribosomal RNA is filed under the name uncultured bacterium. RNAcentral's name for it is "partial 16S ribosomal RNA". It matches the Rfam family "Bacterial small subunit ribosomal RNA", at positions 524 to 776 of the family's 1533-position model. The record is from RNAcentral.